This 654-nucleotide long non-coding RNA is filed under the name Apteryx rowi (Okarito brown kiwi). RNAcentral describes it as "lncRNA (ENSARWG00000001115.1)". The record is from RNAcentral. Lineage: Eukaryota; Metazoa; Chordata; Aves; Apterygiformes; Apterygidae.
UAUGUCAGAUAUAGGGAAUUCUUGCCUGGAGAGAGCUCUUCAUUUUCGUCCGUCUUGAAGAACUGAAAGCGUUUCUGCCAGCUAAGUUAAGUAUUUUCCAUGACAAAUGUUACAGAUGGGUUCUGUGCAAGCUGGCAAAAAUAGCCAUGUGGGUAUAAUACGUUGCCGCAUACCUAAAAUACAGAAUUUUACAAGCACAUGUAAUAUGAAAGCCUGCCUUCCACUUGCUUUGCAUAAGAAAGCAGUUUACCAGCUUUGGAAAAGAUGAGGGGCCUUCGGUAUCCCAGGUGAUUAUUCUUACGGAUGGAAUGAGUCAUUUUCAUGUGGACUUUAACAUGUGGCAUGCGGUUGGUUCUCACCAAUGAGCUUUCAUUUGUGACCAUCGCAGUGAUUUACAAAGCUAGACAUGGAUCAUCUCUUUGCUUUAAAGAUGACAGGAGUGAAUUUAUGCUGAGUCGACCAGCAAUUCUCAUCCAGAUGUAUUUACCACUUGCUGUAUUGUGGUUAAACCAGUUGAGCUUAGGACAUACUGCUGAAUCCAACAAAAAAGUUGCAUCAGCUGGGCUGCACAGCAGAGAGUAAUGCAAAGGCACUGUAGAGCAAAAGCUCCGAGUCUGAAAUAAAUUUGCUAUUUGCCAGAUAAGUCUACUUCUA